CUGUGUUUUGUUAUGUCUGUGUUUUCAACAUUUUAUUUUUUUGAGCGGCGUGCUCUUUCUGACUGUAAACAAAGCCGUUCUCCACCUCCUCUAACCUGAUUGGUUGUGAGGCAGACGCUGCUCCCCCGUGUCGUUCAGGAGCCCAAACAAAGUUAGCGUGCUACAAUAUCGGACAGUAGAAACCAACCAGAAAGUUCGGAAAAUUGUCUGAAUCCUCCUUUGGCCACGACUGCCGACACAAGCAAGAAAACAAAGUAAAUACCGGAGACUCUGGAGGAAUAACGGGCGCUUAAAACGGAGGUAGACCGGACAAGAGCUAAAAAGCCGGGUCAACAUAAACCAUGGGGGACGCUUGGGGAUCUUGGUGACCCUGUAACCUUUCUGCUGGACAGGUAAACCGCUUUAACAAAGUAAGACAAGUGUCUGUAACAGAAGUGUUUCUUGUCAAACGGACCUGCUGUAGCGUGUUGUAGCGCCAUCGCUAAACUGUCCUCCCUCGGGUCCUGGACUAUGUCACUUUAUCCUCGUUGUAGAAGUCCUGCAAACAUUGUGUUU
RNAcentral lists this long non-coding RNA (555 nucleotides) under Xyrichtys novacula (pearly razorfish). Lineage: Eukaryota; Metazoa; Chordata; Actinopteri; Labriformes; Labridae. The record is from RNAcentral.